This is a long non-coding RNA of Neofelis nebulosa (Clouded leopard), 749 nucleotides long. RefSeq lists it as uncharacterized. NCBI's taxonomy places the organism in Eukaryota, Metazoa, Chordata, Mammalia, Carnivora, Felidae. The record is from RefSeq and is a predicted model, not a curated record. The transcript is spliced from 2 exons.
CUCUUUCUGAAAAUAAGAUGUUGGGACCAGGAAUGCACAUGUAAAUGUGCCAGCCAAUAAAGGCUUUGAAGAUGUUGGGUCUGAAAGGCCAGGACAAUUUCACUUGGUUAGUAUCAUCCAGGGUGGUUCCCAUGGGCUACACUGAUCAGCAGCCAGCUGAUGAGCCAGCAGUCCUAAUAGGUACUUUGUUGAUUUUCCCCAAAUGUCUCAGUACUCCCAAACCACCCAACCAAGCUCUUAUGCUGAAUCACAGCCAUUGUGACAAGGCAUCAUUAAUCAUCAGGUCCUUUUGCCAGGAGCUCCCAUGUCAUGGGCACUUGUCUCUGUAUAUAAAAGGAGUGAUGGGUGGGCUGCUUUGAAUGAAGGGACCUGGGGCGGGGGAGGGGGGCAGCAGAUAGAGGCUGCCGCGGCAACCAGAUCCCUGCUGCUGGCCAGAAUUGGGAAAUAUAAGAAGAUGAUGCAGUCCUGUAGAUGUAAGUGUUCAGCGUGCCAUCUGAAGGAUUUACUACAGAGACAGAAAGCAAAGAAGUUAUGGAAGAAAAAGAUCAGGAAGACAAGUCAGCAGCAUAUGCCAAUGAUCUGGUUGAAGACACUGCUCAAACCCAUGACUUUCGGCGUCACAGUUUUUCCCAUGGCCAGCAAUAAGAAAAGCCUCUUUCGGUGCAGGCCCCAGAACACCAUAAUCAUCUUCGAUUUUACCUCUCUGCCCAGGGUCUUUUAAGUAAAAUUUCCCUCCUUUCACUGACAAA